UGUCAUUUAAAGGGCUUUUGCAACUUUCCCUCUUUCUCCAGUACAACACUUCUCUGUUCUCUAUUCCUCAAUGGCUACACCUCUUUACAUUGUUGACGACGACGACGAUGUAUGCUCUCUAUAAGAAUUUGAUUGGGAUUCAGCUGUCAAAGAAAUCGAUGAAGCAACAGCCAUCUCCAACAGACCGUCUUCUUCCCAUUUUGCUUCUACUUCUCAUUCUAAUCAACAAAUUAAGGAAGCCCACAAAUACCCUUUUGCUUCUUCUUCUUCUAGACAAUCCACACUUGAUAAAUUUAUCCAAAAUUCCACCAAGAAUGCCGAAAAAUCUAGUCGGGAACAGGAAAAUCGAAAUGGGUUUGGAGCAAGAAACGGAAAUGAAGGCGAAUCUUAUGGGCCUAGUUAUGUUGAGAUUGAUCCGGAGGCUGCAAAAACUUGGAUUUUCCCAGGUUCUUUUUUUCACUGUUUUUUUUUACUUCAAAUAAUCUGUUUUACAUAUUAAUGUUUUAUAGAAGUAAAAAUGUGAGAAGUUAUGUUCUUUUUAGUUUAUGUUUCAUAGAUUCUUCAUUUGAGUUGAUGCAGAUGUCCCAAAUAAUAUGAACUUCGAUUAAGCUGAACGUGUCUGUAUCUGAUGCAAACAUUUACCCUAGUCAGUGUAAACGUAGGAUUUGUUGGCUAAUAUAUAUACCAAUGUAAGUAUAAUGCUUUGAAGAUGUAGGUUUUUGAAUUUUGAAUAUGAAAAGGGAAUUCAAGUGGGUUGUUGGAAAACUUGAAACAUUGGAAAAUCACCAUUGUUGCAAAAUGAGGUUGUUAAAUUUGGUGUUUUUUGACAAAUUAAUAAUUUAGGAUUUGUUCUGUAUGAUAUUUGAAACUAUGUUUCGAAUUCUAGCUCAUUUGGAGUAGCUUUAGGAGUUUAGGUAUUGAAUUGUUGAAAUUUGAAGAACAAGUUGUUUCUAGGAAAAAGUUUGUAUAAACAAAAAUGACAAAACUUCAAGCAUAUGUGCCCUAAAUUCAAGCAAUAAAGGCCAAACUUUAGGCAUAUGUGCCUUGUAUUCAGGCAAAAUUGCCUGAAGUGCUUGCUUUCAGACUUGCUGAAGUUAGACUUUGACAAACCAAACUUCAGAUGCGAAUGUCUCAUGUCAAACAAAACUUUUGCCAAACCAAACUGCAUACACCUCAUGUCAAAAGUUGAUUUUUCACCACAUUUCAAAAGUUGAUCAGACAUUGCGUAUCUGAAGUUGAUUUAAAGCUGAUCCUGUAAACUGUGCACUGCCCCUGGGGUGACAUCGUCUACUUUGGCUCAGGCCUACAUGGUUACCCCUAAAACGCCUAAUACCAUUAAGAGAAUUCAACACCUCAUAAGUAACUUCUUUUUUUUCUUUUUUAUUGUUCGUUUAGGACUUUAUUCACAGGCACCCACAAUCUCCCUCUUGAACCAAGUUCCACAUGAACCAUCACUAUUCAUGGGCUAAUUUGAAGAUUAACUGUGCGACACCCACAUUAUUCAAGUAUUUAUGAACACCAAGCCCACAAUCUUCUUCUUUUUGUGUUGUCUUCAAGCUACGAUUAAAGGUAGUAAACUCGGCCCAUAGGCAUGCAAAGGCAAUAAGUCGAUUGAGUUGUUGAUGGAAUAAAGGAUGCUUUCAAACCUGAAAGAGGUCCAGAUCUUGGAAUUGGGUUAGGAGCAACUAUUGAAUUUGUCUAGUCGAAAGGGAAAGAUGAUGACUAUCAGUUCUGAUUCUUUUUCCAAAGGAAGCGAGUGGAAUACUAGAUAACGAUUAAGGGAGUGACUCUGUCCAAAUAAGCUCUUAAGAAGUGUUGUUUCAGUCGACAAAAAGGGUUUGGAUUGAAAAUGUACCUUUAUUAAAAAAAAGGGGGUUUGAAUUGAAACCAUUCUUAGAUGGAAUCGACUGACUUCUAGUUGCAUCAUAUCGAGAGAUCUGUUGCCAGUUCCGAUAGAAGGAGAGGAGUAAGGUUUAGGCUUUGCCCAAUAGUUGUUGAACCCAAGUUUGGUGAUAAACUGUAGUUGCUUAGUCUUCUAGCAUAGCGGAGUGAGAUAUAUCGAACAAUUAACUUGGACGCCAUGCCAUCACUCCGCUAUCUCUUCCGCCAAACCAUUGGCUCUAAUGCCUUUUGUUGGGGUAAAACAAUAACAUAGUGUGAUAUUAUUUGUUUUGAGCCAAGCCCACAUGGUUUUCCCCAAAAGGCGUGUCCAAGUCUCAUAAGUAGCUUCUUUUUGUUUUCUACUUUUCACUUGGGAGUUUGUUCAUACUCACCCAACAGGUAUAAUAGUUUUAGUUGUUGAUUGGGCUUGUUAGGAAUAUAUACCCCCACCCCAAAUUUUGUUUUUCAAAAAAAAAACAAACAAACUGUUUUCUCAAAAUAAAAAUAGAAAUUUAACCCCCCCCCCCACACACACACAACCAACCCCUAAGUUUUUUCUUUUCCAGAAACAAAAAAAAACUCUUCCAUUUCACAUAUGGAUUCUCAUGUUAGGCCAUUUUGUUCAUAUUUGUAUGAGCUUAAAUAGGUUGAAGACCAUAUUAACCCAUUUAAGAAAAGGAGAGAAAAUAUGAGUGAUCCAUUAAAUUUAAUAUGGGCAAAAUGGUUUCAUUUCACUUAUAUGAGCUGAAAUUGCCACCUCUAAAUAUGAGACUCUCCCUCCUUUCCUUUUAUAGUUUUAAGACUUCUCUUUUUUAAAUUGUAAGUACACUCAGUGUGCUAGCAUAAUACUUAAAUACAGUAGAUUAUGCUGCUUGAAUGAAACUUUUGCUUGGACAAUUAUAAGCUCUAUGAUUUAACUGAUAGUCUUUUACUAUCUUUUAGAUAAAUCAUUGUAGAAGCUUCUUGGAAUGAAGAUUCAUGUUCAUUUACCUUCUUUUUCCUUGCAGUAAAUUUUGAUCGUCGUGAUUAUCAAUUUUCUAUCAUCCGCACUGCUCUUUUUAGCAACACCUUAGUAACAUUACCCACAGGACUUGGAAAGACAUUUAUUGCUGCUGUUGUAAUGUAUAAUUAUUUCAGGUGGUUCCCAGAAGGUAAUGCCAUCUACGACUAUUUUAUUUCUUACUUUUUCAAACUUGUCGCCAUUCUAUUUCCAAGAAUUACUCCUAUUAAGUCUCUACAUUGGAGUGCUAGUUUAUGAGAAGCAAGGUUAGUCUCAGCUGAAUCUGCUGAAAUCUUGAGCUAUACAAGAAUAUUAAGUAGGUGCUUUGAACAUUGUAAUUUACUCUCCGCAUCCUCAUAACUGAGAAAUAUUAUGCAGCAACCAUAUUAGGUCAGAUACUUCAUUCUAUGCAUUUUUCGAGUUUAUGAACAAAGGAGAAAUGAGUUCAUGGCUGAAUCCUGAUGCGCCCUUCAGUUACUGAUGACAGUCC
RNAcentral lists this long non-coding RNA (3371 nucleotides) under Solanum lycopersicum (tomato). RNAcentral describes it as "partial TCONS_00171275". Lineage: Eukaryota; Viridiplantae; Streptophyta; Magnoliopsida; Solanales; Solanaceae. The record is from RNAcentral.